GACGAAGGAUGCAAGCGUUAUCCGGAUUCAUUGGGUUUAAAGGGAGCGUAGGUGGUCUUAUAAGUCAGUGGUGAAAUCUCUCGGCUUAACUGAGAAAUUGCCAUUGAUACUGGGAGACUUGAGUGUAGUUGCCGUUGGCGGAAUAUGACAUGUAGUGGUGAAAUACAUAGAGAUGUCAUAGAACACCGAUUGCGAAGGCAGCUAACGAAACUAUAACUGACACUGAGGCUCGAAAGUGCGGGGAUCAAACAGG
RNAcentral lists this ribosomal RNA (253 nucleotides) under uncultured bacterium. Its description in RNAcentral is "partial 16S ribosomal RNA". It matches the Rfam family "Bacterial small subunit ribosomal RNA", at positions 524 to 776 of the family's 1533-position model. The record is from RNAcentral.